RNAcentral lists this ribosomal RNA (497 nucleotides) under uncultured bacterium. RNAcentral's name for it is "partial 16S ribosomal RNA". It matches the Rfam family "Bacterial small subunit ribosomal RNA", at positions 28 to 507 of the family's 1533-position model. The record is from RNAcentral.
GACGAACGCUGGCGGCGUGCCUAAUACAUGCAAGUCGAGCGGACAGACGGGAGCUUGCUCCCUGAUGUUAGCGGCGGACGGGUGAGUAACACGUGGGUAACCUGCCUGUAAGACUGGGAUAACUCCGGGAAACCGGGGCUAAUACCGGAUGGUUGUCUGAACCGCAUGGUUCAGACAUAAAAGGUGGCUUCGGCUACCACUUACAGAUGGACCCGCGGCGCAUUAGCUAGUUGGUGAGGUAACGGCUCACCAAGGCAACGAUGCGUAGCCGACCUGAGAGGGCGAUCGGCCACACUGGGACGGAGACACGGCCCAGACUCCUACGGGAGGCAGCAGUAGGGAAUCUUCCGCAAUGGACGAAAGUCUGACGGAGCAACGCCGCGUGAGUGAUGAAGGUUUUCGGAUCGUAAAGCUCUGUUGUUAGGGAAGAACAAGUGCCGUUCAAAUAGGGCGGCACCUUGACGGUACCUAACCAGAAAGCCACGGCUAACUACGUG